AUGACGACUGCUGUGGCCUUCACCACAUCCAUCUCACUCCUCCUCCUGCUGAUCCCCGUCGCUCUUGCAAAGGAUCACACCAAUGGCGGCAGCUACCUCGCCAGAGGCUCCUCGGUGUCCAUCGAGGAUGGCACCAAGGCCACCACCACCACCAUCCUGGCGUCGCCCAAUGGCGCCUUCGCCUGCGGCUUCUACAGGGUGGCCACCAACGCCUACACCUUCUCCAUCUGGUUCCGCUCCUCAUCGGCCAAGACCGUCGCGUGGACGGUCAACCGCGACGCGCCGGUGAACGGCAGGGGGUCCAGGCUCGCCUUCCGGAAGGACGGGGCCCUGGCCCUGCUCGACUACAAUGGCGCGGCCGUCUGGAGCACCAACACAAGCGCGACCCGUGCCAGCCGCGUGGAGCUCCUCGACAGCGGCGACCUUGUCGUCGUCGAUCCAAACGGCCGGCGCCUCUGGGGGAGCUUCGACUCACCCACCGACACGCUUCUGCCGUCGCAGCCGAUGACCCGGCACACAAAGCUGGUGUCUGCGUCUGCCAGGGGUUUGCUCUCAUCAGGGUUGUAUGCAUUCUACUUUGACAAUGACAACCAGCUCAAGCUCAUCUACAACGGCCCUGAGGUCAGUAGCGUGUACUGGCCUGACCCUUUCACCACCCCGCUUGUGAAUCACAGGACUACCUACAACAGUAGCCAGUAUGGAGUUCUUGAGCAGACAGGCCGGUUCGCCGCGAGCGACAACUUCAAAUUCGCAGCUUCUGAUCUUGGUGAUAAGGUCAUGAGGAGGUUGACUCUGGAUUACGAUGGCAAUCUCAGGCUGUACAGCCUGAACGCGACCACCGGCGGCUGGUCGGUCUCUUGGAUGGUAUUCCGCGGAGUCUGCAAUAUUCAUGGACUCUGCGGCAAAAACAGCCUCUGCAAGUACAUACCCAAGCUCCAGUGCUCUUGCCUCAGAGGCUUUGAGGUGGUCGAUGCAAGCGACUGGAGCAAAGGGUGCAGGCGCAAGGCAAACCUCAGGGCCACCCAGGAUUUCUCAUUCAGAAAGGUCGCGGGAGCUGAUUUCAUUGGGUAUGACUUGCUCUACUGGGAGCGGGUGACAAUUCGGAACUGCAAAGAUUUGUGCUUGGACAAUGCUAAUUGCCAAGCCUUUGGUUACCGUCAGGGAGAAGGCAAAUGUUUCACAAAGGUCUAUCUUUUUAACGGCAAGAACUUUCCGAACCCUCACACUGACAUUUAUCUGAAAGUUCCCAGGGGAGCGCUGUCUUCCUCAGAAUUGGCUUCUACCGUAACCCAUGAAUGCAAAGUUCAUCAAAAGGAGGCCAACAGUACAUCGCUAUUGUUCCAGGAUGGCUCUUCUAACUUCAAGUUUGGCUACUUCCUUUCUUCUGCAUUAACACUGCUUUUCAUUGAAGUGAUAUUAAUCAUCGCCGGGUGUUGGGUUGUUCACAAAUGGGAGGGAAGACCAGAGAUUAUAGAUGAAGGUUACACGAUAAUUUCCAGCCAGUUCCGAAUAUUUAGCUACAGGGAGUUACAGAAGGCAACCAGUUGCUUCCAAGAAGAGCUAGGAAGCGGUGGAUCAGGAGCAGUUUACAAGGGAGUCCUCGAUGAUGCAAGGAAGGUCGCAGUGAAGAAGCUAAACGAUGUGAUCCAAGGAGAGCAGGAGUUCAGGUCUGAGAUAAGUGUCAUAGGCAGAAUUUAUCAUAUGAAUCUCGUCAGAAUUUGGGGGUUUUGUGUCGAGAAGACGCACAAGCUCUUGGUUUCAGAGUUCAUCGAGAAUGGUUCCUUGGCCGCAGUUCUUUUUGAUCACCAGAGUAAUUCUCCUGUGCUCCAAUGGGGCCAAAGGUACAAUAUUGCACUUGGGGUGGCAAAAGGACUGGCCUAUCUCCAUCAUGAGUGUCUUGAAUGGAUUGUCCACUGUGAUGUCAAACCAGAGAACAUAUUGUUAGAUAGAGACUUUCAGCCCAAGAUUGCAGAUUUUGGACUGAUGAAGCUACAACAGCGAGGAUCAAGCGCAGAAAUGUUGUCAAAAGUGCAUGGGACUAGAGGCUACAUUGCACCAGAAUGGGCUCUAAAUCUUCCAAUCAAUGGGAAGGCCGAUGUUUACAGCUACGGCGUAGUGCUUCUUGAGUUAGUGAAGGGGGUUCGUCUUUCCAGAUGGGUGGCUGAGGGCGAGGAGGAGGUUGAAAUGGCUGGUAUAUGCUCUAUUGAAAUCCUUAAAGAAAAACUAGCAGGCGAAGACCAGUCAUGGCUUCUGGAGUUUGUCGACCACAGACUGGAUGGAGAAUUCAACCAGUCAGAAGCUACAGUAAUGCUUAAGAUAGCAAUAUCAUGUGUACAAGAGGACAGGAGCAGAAGACCAAGCAUGAGCCACGUGGUCGAAACUUUGCUUUCACUUGUGGAGUAA
This 2403-nucleotide ribosomal RNA is filed under the name Triticum aestivum (bread wheat). RNAcentral describes it as "partial small subunit ribosomal RNA". Lineage: Eukaryota; Viridiplantae; Streptophyta; Magnoliopsida; Poales; Poaceae. The record is from RNAcentral.